GGAGGGGUGGCCGAGUGGCUGAAGGCGGCGGUUUGCUAAACCGUUAUACGGUGAAUAGCCGUAUCGAGGGUUCGAAUCCCUUCCCCUCCUCCA
RNAcentral lists this transfer RNA (93 nucleotides) under Pseudomonadota bacterium. RNAcentral's name for it is "Proteobacteria bacterium (activated sludge metagenome) tRNA-Ser". It matches the Rfam family "tRNA". From Rfam's summary of the family: Transfer RNA (tRNA) molecules are approximately 80 nucleotides in length. Their secondary structure includes four short double-helical elements and three loops (D, anti-codon, and T loops). Lineage: Bacteria; Pseudomonadati; Pseudomonadota. The record is from RNAcentral.